GACGAACGCUGGCGGCGUGCUUAACACAUGCAAGUCGAACGGAAAGGCCCUGCUUUUGUGGGGCUCUCGUGUGGCGCACGGGUGUGAAACACGUGUGUAACCCCCCCUUGUCUUUGUGAUAACUUUACGACACUGGGGCUAAUAUCGGAUAUGAUAUCUUGAUGCGUGUUGGUGGUUGGUAAGAUUCGGCGGUUGUGGCUGGUCUCGAGGCUUAUGCGCUUGGUGGUGGAGUUGUGGCUUACCAAGGCUUCGAAGGGUAGCCUGCCUGAGCGGGUGACCGGCGUCAAUGGUACUGAGAUACGGACCAGACUCCUACGGGAGGCAGCAGGGGGGAAUAUUGCACAAUGGGCGGAAGCCUGAUGCGACAACGCCGCGUGCGGGAAGACGGCCUUCGGGUUGUAAACCGCUUUCGACGGUGACGAAGCGUGAGUGACGGUAAUGGGUAAAGAAGCACCGGCUAACUACGUG
RNAcentral lists this ribosomal RNA (468 nucleotides) under uncultured bacterium. Its description in RNAcentral is "partial 16S ribosomal RNA". It matches the Rfam family "Bacterial small subunit ribosomal RNA", at positions 28 to 507 of the family's 1533-position model. The record is from RNAcentral.